RNAcentral lists this non-coding RNA (196 nucleotides) under Chitinibacter bivalviorum. RNAcentral describes it as "Chitinibacter sp. 2T18 6S RNA". It matches the Rfam family "6S / SsrS RNA". From Rfam's summary of the family: E. coli 6S RNA was the first non coding RNA to be sequenced, but its function was unknown until recently. It consists of 184 nucleotides that fold into an extended hairpin structure with a large single-stranded internal bulge. The 6S RNA specifically associates with RNA polymerase holoenzyme containing the sigma70 specificity factor. Lineage: Bacteria; Pseudomonadati; Pseudomonadota; Betaproteobacteria; Neisseriales; Chitinibacteraceae. The record is from RNAcentral.
GCUUUCCUGCGGUGUUCGUGACGGCUCAGAUUCUUUGAACCGAUAAGCUGUAUAGCAUGUUUGCCGGGUCUCCCGACGCCUGUUGUGAGCAUUCCCCAGUUUCGACUCGGAUGAAUGCACCUGAUGGCAUCGACUUGGCAGCGACUUGAACCAUUGGGUUCAAGAUGCGAGUCGGAACGACAUUCGCGGGAAGCCC